GUGAGGAAUAUUGGACAAUGGGCGCGAGCCUGAUCCAGCCAUGCCGCGUGCAGGAAGACGCAUCUAUGGUGUGUAAACUGCUUUUGUACGGGAAGAAACACUCCCUCGUGAGGGAGCUUGACGGUACCGUAAGAAUAAGGAUCGGCUAACUCCGUGCCAGCAGCCGCGGUAAUACGGAGGAUCCAAGCGUUAUCCGGAAUCAUUGGGUUUAAAGGGUCCGUAGGCGGUUUAAUAAGUCAGUGGUGAAAGCCCAUCGCUCAACGAUGGAACGGCCAUUGAUACUGUUAGACUUGAAUUACAAGGAAGUAACUAGAAUAUGUAGUGUAGCGGUGAAAUGCUUAGAUAUUACAUGGAAUACCAAUUGCGAAGGCAGGUUACUACUUGUGGAUUGACGCUGAUGGACGAAAGCGUGGGGAGCGAACAGGAUUAGAUACCCUGGUAGUCC
RNAcentral lists this ribosomal RNA (445 nucleotides) under uncultured bacterium. RNAcentral's name for it is "partial 16S ribosomal RNA". It matches the Rfam family "Bacterial small subunit ribosomal RNA", at positions 354 to 796 of the family's 1533-position model. The record is from RNAcentral.